Molecule: ribosomal RNA, 433 nt
Filed under: uncultured bacterium
Lineage: Bacteria
Description: partial 16S ribosomal RNA
Rfam family: Bacterial small subunit ribosomal RNA
Source: RNAcentral
AACGAACGCUGGCGGCAUGCCUAACACAUGCAAGUCGAACGAGACAUUCGGGUCUAGUGGCGCACGGGUGCGUAACGCGGGGGAAACUGCCCUUAGGUUCGGAAGAACUCGCCGAAAGGGGUGCUAAUACCGGCUCAUGUCUUCGGACCAAAGAUUGAUUGCCUUUGGAUGGGCCCGCGUUGGCUUAGCUAGAUGGUAGGGUAAAAGGCUACAAAGGGGACGAUACAUAGCUGGUAAGAGAGGCUGGGCAGCGACACUGGGCCUGAGACACGGCCCGGACUCCUACGCGAGGGAGGAGUGGGUGAUACAGCACUGCGGGCUGUGUGAUGAACCUGCAAUGAUGCGUAAGCGAUGAAGGUUGGAGGGUUGUAAAGCUCGUUUACCCGUGAUGAUAAUGACAGUACCGGGAGAAUAAGCUCCGGCUAACUCCGUG